AUGGGAUUUCAAUCAAUUUUUCCCCCUCUUCUUUUUCUUUUUCCUGGUAAAAAUUUCCUCAUGCCCAGUUUUAUUUUCAAUCUUAAAAAAUUCUUUUUUUUACUGUAAAAUAUGGGUCUUUUUUUAAUUGAUUUUAUCUACUGUCUUUACAGUGACACUAUAAUUCGAGAGCUGGAGCAAUUGCAGCAAAUUUUUGGACACCCAACAUCGGCAAGGGCAGAGUAUUUGAUUUUUUUUUUUAAUUUCUUCUUUCUAUGAUCUUUGUUGGACUUUCACUGUGUAGAACGAAUUCUAUUUUUAGCUAGGCAUAACUUCUUUUUUUCUUAUUUUUGUUACUCAGGCUUUAUUGUAUGUUGGUUCUGUUCUGUUUUACCCAUAUUUCAUCAAUUUUUAUGAUUUAAAUUGAACUACUAUGUGAAAAGGAAUAUCGAGUAUUGCCAAGUAGUAUUUUCUUUGACUAUUACUGUACAUAAUUGUCAAUUUUGUUGUUCAAUUGCUAGCUGUUAAAUUUGCUGCAAAAGAAUGAUUAUUGCAGUUUGAAUCUCUUGUUUUUAUGGGGAAGAAUGGGAGGGUUGAAAAAGGGAAAUAAAAUGAAAUAGUUGGGUGGAAAGUGUUACCUUUUAUGGAGUUCUAGCUUAAUCAUCAUUUGUUUAAUUGUACAUUUUACACUUUCCAACAAUUGAAUGGAGCGAGUUUUUUGGAUUUCCAUUUCAUUGCUUUCAAGUAUCUUGGUCUAGAUAAGUUCCGUCCGUGUUUUCUGUUUUCAAAAUGAAUUAAUAUAUAUGACAUAACAGGUUCUUCUUGCAAAUUGGGAAUUGAAUGUUUAUAUGAAAAGGUGUUUAAAAUCUGAUCUUUUCUUUGUGGCAUCCAUAUUCUGCAAAGAUCUUUUGCCCUGUCUUUGUCCACCUCCUAGGUCUCAGUAUUUUGUCGGUUUGCUUAUGGUAGAGUUUGAUCUCCUUCUCUCCCAUUUUCCCUUUGUCCCCACUUUUCCUCUCCUUCCGCUUUAGCUCUUGAAAUUGCAUUUUAGAUCCUUGGUUGUUAUAGUGGAUUACAAGCAUACUUAACACUACGUUCAAGCUGUUGAAUUUUAGGUUCAACUUUCAAGUGUUAAAGUUUUAUUAAAGUUUUGAUUUCUUAUGUAAGCUUGUUUUACCCCCUUUUUUAGAGGGAGAGGGGGUUUGAGAGAGAUAAAAAUAGCACUUAUAUUAGUGUAUAUGGAUGUAUGUAUGUAUGUAUGUAUAUGGUAUACAUAAACAUAGGUUUAAAAAGUAUGCUACAUACGAUGUUUCUAUAAUACAAAAUUGUGUAAUUGCAAAAUAAAAUGUAAAUUUCAAGUACUGUGCACACUUAAAUUAUUUCUUAAAAAAUUCUAAAAAUUAAAUUCAAUAAAAUUAGAGUAUAACUUAAUGACCAAUAACAAAUAAAACUAAAAAAGGGAACCAUCAAGAACAUAAAAUUACUUGUGCAAAAUUAAUGCAUUAGCGAACCAUAUGAGGUUCUUGGUUGUUUUGCCUUAUUUAGAGGCUGUUUGAUUGGGUUUUUGCUAUUUGCUUUUUGCUUCCGAAAGUAAAAAAGCAAAAAUUGCAUUCCCAUAAGCAAUAAAAUAUUGAAGAGUUAAACACAAAAUAUGUAAAUUUUUUAUGAUUAACUACAUGAUUCUACUUCUAUAUAUACUAAUUGUGUUAUAACUGAUUUUAUAUUUUAAUUAUUUUUUCUGUUUCAGAUCAGUUAUGAUAUAUUUAUUGUUUACCUUUUGCUUUUCCUUUCUAGUAAAAUAUAUACGUUUUAUUCAUGUUCAUUUGUAACUUACCAGACUUCUUGACCAUGUUCUAGAAAUGCUAGUAUGUAACGAGUUUGCUUUGAAUAUGGCAGCUAACAAUAUCAGUGAAUCUUAGGUUUGUUGAUGCAAAUCAUGGCUAAUAGAUUCACUUGAAGCCUACUUAUCUAAAGAUCUUUAGAUUUUUGGAGGAUGAAAUACAGAGGUGGUGCUGAUGUUAAUAAUAUUGGAC
RNAcentral lists this long non-coding RNA (2009 nucleotides) under Durio zibethinus. Its description in RNAcentral is "long non-coding RNA (DZIB_LNC001572)". Lineage: Eukaryota; Viridiplantae; Streptophyta; Magnoliopsida; Malvales; Malvaceae. The record is from RNAcentral.